AUGGAUAACAGGUGCAAAUCUGGUUCACAGCAACUUCGUUUCGUCGCUAAACUCUUCCAUCAACAGCUAGCUUCUGGUUUUGUACUUCCAUCGCUUUUUCAACCCUUGGAUAGAUCCAUUCCUGGCUUUCCGUUUCAACGUUUUGGCCUUCACAAGUUUCUAGAUUGUGGUUUCCUUAGUUCUUGUUCUGUGUAUGCUGCACAAGUCUUCUGA
Molecule: non-coding RNA, 213 nt
Organism: Vicia faba (fava bean)
Lineage: Eukaryota; Viridiplantae; Streptophyta; Magnoliopsida; Fabales; Fabaceae
Source: the annotation of a GenBank genome assembly